Molecule: ribosomal RNA, 345 nt
Filed under: Triticum aestivum (bread wheat)
Lineage: Eukaryota; Viridiplantae; Streptophyta; Magnoliopsida; Poales; Poaceae
Description: partial small subunit ribosomal RNA
Source: RNAcentral
AUGGCUUCAGGUUCACCGACUCUCACGCUCAAGGCAGCCGUCGUCGCCGCCCUCCUCGCCACGCUGGUUCUGCCUUCCCUGGGGCGUUGCCGUCCGCCACUCGACCCGCCAGCACCGGCGCCGGCUCCUGUCCCAGCCCCGGCCCCGGCGAAAGCAUCAUGCGGUGAGUACUGUAGGAAUUACUGCCCCAUGAAUUCGACGUGCCAGACCACCGUCGGCCUUCAGUGCGCCCCCCUAUGCAGAGGGGAUGGGCAGGUGGGAUGCAACGGCUGCUGGAGCAUGGGCAUGAACGACUGCCUCAACGCCUGCGUCAAGGACUGCGAGGCCAAGUGCGCCAGCGGGUAA